RNAcentral lists this ribosomal RNA (392 nucleotides) under uncultured bacterium. RNAcentral describes it as "partial 16S ribosomal RNA". It matches the Rfam family "Bacterial small subunit ribosomal RNA", at positions 523 to 918 of the family's 1533-position model. The record is from RNAcentral.
AUACGUAGGUGGCAAGCGUUAUCCGGAAUUAUUGGGCGUAAAGAGGGAGCAGGCGGCAGCAAGGGUCUGUGGUGAAAGCCUGAAGCUUAACUUCAGUAAGCCAUAGAAACCAGGCAGCUAGAGUGCAGGAGAGGAUCGUGGAAUUCCAUGUGUAGCGGUGAAAUGCGUAGAUAUAUGGAGGAACACCAGUGGCGAAGGCGCCGAUCUGGCGUGCAACUGACGCUCAGUCCCGAAAGCGUGGGGAGAAAGAAGGAUUAGAUACCCUAGUAUUCCACGCCGUAAACGAUGAGUACUAAGUGUUGGAUGUCAAAGUUCAGUGCUGCAGUUAACGCAAUAAGUACUCCGCCUGAGUAGUACGUUCGCAAGAAUGAAACUCAAAUGAAUUGACGGGG